GGGGGGCGCUGCGCGGCCGGGGCGGAGCGCGGGGCUGGGGAGUGCAGCGCCGAGCGGCCCUGCCUGAUCGGAAGUGCCACGCGGAGCCAGCCGCCUGGGCUCCCCCGGAGUGACGACCACGCCUCUGGGCCCCCAACUGCAGGGAGUGACCUGAGUCCGAGUCAAGAGUGGUUGAACAAGAGGGGUAAACUGAGGCCCAGAAAGCAGAAGUAACUUCCAUGAGACCUCAGAGUGGGUUCGUUCAGGGGCAAGAUAACACCCCAAGACUCCUUGCUGCUGUUUUGGGUUUGAAGAAAUGAGGACAUUUGUCCCACAGAAUCCUGCGUUUUCUGGUGCCUCUUUUGAGGAGCAAGCCAAUCCCUGAACAGGCCCGAGGCCCUCCUCGGAAGCACAUGGCUGCUCGCGAGAUGCCCUCCCAGCCCCCGACCCGGAUCCUCCCCGCUCCAUCUUCUAGCUCGUGGUCAGCAUCUAACAAGCACGCCCCCUGUCCCAGCUCUGUGCUGGACACCAGGGACCCAGAGGUGACCAUGGCAGACCGGUCUGUGGGUUCUGAGCUCCUCAUCUACUGAGGGUGCUCCCAAGCUGGGAGGGAGGCACAGGUGCCAUGAGGGCACAGAGAAGGCGUGCCAAACCUACAUUUGUGCAGUUGGAAAACGUUUCCUGGAGGGGGUGCCCAGGGGCUUGUGGGGAGGGUGGUGCGGGAUCCAACCUCAAAGGGGCCGAAAAGCUGUGUUAAGGGAUCUGGCCCAUCCGGAAGGCUCUCACAGCCCCUGGAAGCUUCUAUGAGGGGGCGGGAGCAGCAUUAGGAUUGAAAAAGCGAGUGAGAUGUAAAAUCUCUCAAGUUUCUCGCUCCUGCUGAGGCAUGAGUCACCCAUGGUGGUGCACUGAGCUAUUUCGAGCCCAGGGGGUGAAAGGGUCAAGAUAUAGUGUGGGGGGGGGCGCCUGGGGGGCGCAGUCGGUUAAGCGUCCGACUUCAGCCAGGUCACGAUCU
This is a long non-coding RNA of Felis catus (domestic cat), 991 nucleotides long. RefSeq lists it as uncharacterized. The transcript has 5 exons. NCBI's taxonomy places the organism in Eukaryota, Metazoa, Chordata, Mammalia, Carnivora, Felidae. The record is from RefSeq and is a predicted model, not a curated record.